Molecule: RNA transcript, 3338 nt
Organism: Solanum dulcamara
Lineage: Eukaryota; Viridiplantae; Streptophyta; Magnoliopsida; Solanales; Solanaceae
Gene name: protein ANTI-SILENCING 1
Exons: 14
Source: RefSeq, a predicted model, not a curated record
GGGGGUGUAUUUAAGAAGUUGAGCACUACUCCCAGGACACUGCCUGUCUUUUCCCUCCAAUUCAUUCUAACGUCUGCGGCGGUUUUCGGACGACUAGGGUGAAGGGAGGACAGUAUUAAUACCACAAAACUCGACAGUGAAUGAGCUACCUACGCCCAGAGAUAAGAUAUCUUUCUCGGGAUUGGUCGAAAUUGAAGGCACUUCUAGGGUUUCUGGUCAAAAGGUUAAACAUUGUUCAAGCUGCGAAAAAGUUAGCAUCUUGGUGGAACUCUUAAAAGAACAUCAUCUUGGUGGAAGCAGUCAUUGUAGGAUCCACAAGGGCUGAAUCUGUGUGGUAAAAGUAGAGGCCCUGACAGAAAAAGGAAGCAGGUCUGUGAGUGGAGACAGUUAUGGCCUUGGUAGAAGCAGUUAAAGUAGUGCCUCUAGCGGUUCUAGAUAAGGAUGAGGAAGUUGAAUUUGUCUGGGGUAGAAAGAGAGGUAUUGGUGGUAAGAGAAAGGAGGUGCAAUUUUAUGAAUCUUUUACCUAUGAUGGUGUGGAGUAUGCUCUAUAUGACUGUGUAUACAUGCACAAGGAAGGUGAACUUCCUUACAUUGGUAAGAUCAUAAAGAUAUGGGAAAAUCCAGACAAGUCUAGGAAGAUAAAGAUCCACUGGUUUUUUCGGUCAACAGAGAUCUUGUAUCACCUGAAAGAUGUAAAGGUAGCUGAGAAUGAAGUAUUUCUUGCCUCUGGUGAAGGCACUGGUUUGGCCAAUGUUAAUCCUUUGGAAGCUAUUGCUGGCAAAUGCAAUGUUAUCUGCAUUUCAGAGGACAACAGAAAUCCACAACCAUCAGAUGAAGAAGUUAAAAUGGCUGACUAUGUUUUCUACCGUGCUUUUGAUGUUGGAAAUUGUACAAUUUUGGAUAAGAUGGUUGACAAAGUUGGUGGGCUGGAUGUCAAGUAUGUUUUUAACAGGAAAGAGAGUGAAAAGGCCAGUCAUGUCCUCAAACUUGAUUCUGACAAGAAAGAUGACAAAACUGCCGUGGAAUAUCGAGCUAAUGGGGAGUCCUUUGGGCUAAAACCACAGAAGUAUCUUGGAACUGCCAAAGUGAGUCAUUUACUUGGAAAAAGUGAUGUAGAUGGACAAAGUUCUCCUCUGGUUAGACAGGAUGCUUCACAGAGAGAUACAAAUGUUUCACGUGUUAAUCAGGAAACUGCUAAGAAAGGGAAUUCUGUCCCUGGUGAGAAAAACUCGCAUGAUUUGGGAGUUGCAAAAGCUGCUGGUAAAUCAAGUCAUUUAGUGGGAAGAAGUGAUGUAGAUGCGCAAAGUUCACCGAUUAGAGAGGAUGCCUUACAUGGAGAUGCAAAUGAUUCUCACAUUGAGCAGCAAUCAACAAUGAAAGGAAAUGCCACACCAGUUCUGGUUGUUAACAGCAGAAUAGCCACUACAGUUGUUCACAACCAAAAUACUUUAAGUGAAGAAAAUGCACUCUGCACAGUUAAGAAUGAUAAAAAAGUUAAUAAGCUUUCAAUAGAACUCGUAGAAGCUGGUGAAAGAGGAAAACCUUCGAAGGAUCUUGGCAUUUUGGAUAGUAGGCCUUCAAAACGAAUAAAAGUAAAUGGUUCUGUGAAACUAUCAGAGGACAAGGGUGGGGACAGUGUACAGAAGUCCACUGUUUGCAGAAAUGACAAAGAGGUUAUGGGGACAGGUGCUACUCCUUCUGAAGAAAGAAAGAAAUCUGGAGAUAGCAAGCUUUCUGGUGGACUGGACAAGAACAUGCAGAGCAGAAAAGAUGGUGCUGCCUUGGAUAUCAGACCUCCAAAGAAGGCAAACAUCGACUCUCUUAAAGUAAAAGAGGAUAGAGAUAGAAGUAACAUGUCAAUAGGUAAGCCUGUUGACAAUAUAGGCAAGUUGCCUAAAUUAUCUGCUGGAAUAUCCCCCAAGGAAGUUGAGAGAAUGGGAGGCAAGAGCUUCAUAAUCACUCGGAGACCUGUUGCAGAGUCGAGCAAGUGGUUCAAGGCACCUCCAUGGGAGGAGGUGAUGCAAACAUCAAAUGAGCAAGGGACCCUUAUCUUACUAGAAAAUUUGAAUCCUGAAUAUACAUCAGGAGAGGUGGAGGAUAUUAUCUGGCAUGCAUGUAGGGAAAACUGCACAGCCAAAAUGGUUCAGCGUACUGCUUUCUCUAGUCCAUACUCUGGUAGAGCGUUAGUUGCAUUCAAAACAAGAGAAGCAGCAGAAAGGGUCAGUAAAAUGUUGGCUGAUGGAUGCUUAAUGCUGUCAAAUCAGAGGCCGCUUGUUGCUAGCUUUGUAACUCUUCCGAAAAUGGAAGGAAACACUCCAUCAUUUGCUGGGCAUCUAUGUGUUGACAAACUAAGACUACAAUUGCAGCGGGAAAUGAAAGAAGCAGUUUCUACUUCUCAUUGUUCUCAAGGCAACACCAUAGAGGAUGAAAUGGGCAUUGAGUGGCGCUUACUGCAAUCAAGAUCUGACAGCUGGUGGAAUCGGCUAUAUAAGCAACAAAAAGAGGAACUAAGAAAAACAGUGUCAGAACUCAAGAGAAAAUGAGAAGCAAGCUGCAGUUUUGUACAUAGUGUACUUGUGCAUAGGAUAUGCAAAAUGUUAUGGAGGUUGCGAUAUAUGAACUUGAAGGUUGUCACAUCAUGAUGGCACCACUUCAAACAUUAUCUCAUCUGAAUAUUAUCUACAUAUGAAGAGAAGAGGCAGUGUUUGUCCAUGAAACAAGCAUUCCAGAUGAAAGUGAUUGAUCUUUGAAGAAUAAAAUGUGGUGACCAAAACGAUAAAAAGCUCUCUGUUGUAAAAAUGGAUAGUUCAGUGACUAUGGGUCAAGAGUGACAUCAAUAUGUAGGAUCAGCUGUUUGUAGGAAGGAGAAUGUCAAUAGAGGAUUCAUGUACAGAUUUCUGACUUCUUGGACCUGACUUCUGAUAAUGGUGUUCUUCCAAUAAGUUCCAUUGGAUUUAUGCAAGAUUUUUGUUCGAUUGACACAUCUGAGGGUUCGGGAUAGAUGACUACUUGACACUCAAUCCUCCAAGCGUCUUGGCAAUUUUUGUAUGUACCCUAAUACUCCCUACCUUCCCUGGGGACCCCAACCUCAUAGUUUGGAGCAAUUGGUUAAUGUCAAAGUCACAAAGUUUAGCUUGCAGCGAUAUGCAUAUUUUUAUCAGAAUUUUUGCUCCAUGGCAUAAUCUUUUGUUCAAAAUAUCUUUAGAAAUUGAAAAUAGAAUCUCUUAUCUUUGGUUCUGAAUUAGGGUCGACAAAUGGAACUAAACAUGUUCCCGUUAAACGAGCAUUGGAUUCAUUUCUUUAUUGCUAAAAUCUUGGCAAAUGGUAUUUUGUUUGAA